This 330-nucleotide long non-coding RNA is filed under the name Capra hircus (goat). RNAcentral describes it as "lncRNA (ENSCHIG00000005685.1)". Lineage: Eukaryota; Metazoa; Chordata; Mammalia; Artiodactyla; Bovidae. The record is from RNAcentral.
GGCUGUCUUAAGCAUUGUGGGCUGUGUAGCAGCCAUCCUAACCCUCUAAUUGAGAGAUACUAACAUCACCCUCUGUCAAGUUUUGGCACCAGAAAUGCAUCCAGAGUUGCCAGAUGUACCUGGAGGGAAGUGGAGGAGCUGAAGUACCUUCAGUUUAGGCCCACAUAUGACCACGUAGAUCUAGGCAGAUUAAACAGCCCCAAUACAAGCUUCCUGUUCUCAGACUGCUGGAAUUGUGAGCCUGAUUCAGUGUCUCAAGAACUCUUUAAGACUAGUAUACAACUUCCCAGUGGGCAAGCUUCUAAGAUUAUAUAUGUGCAUCAGUCAUAG